Molecule: ribosomal RNA, 253 nt
Filed under: uncultured bacterium
Lineage: Bacteria
Description: partial 16S ribosomal RNA
Rfam family: Bacterial small subunit ribosomal RNA
Source: RNAcentral
UACGAAGGGGGCUAGCGUUGCUCGGAAUCACUGGGCGUAAAGGGUGCGUAGGCGGGUCUUUAAGUCAGGGGUGAAAUCCUGGAGCUCAACUCCAGAACUGCCUUUGAUACUGAAGAUCUUGAGUUCGGGAGAGGUGAGUGGAGCUGCGAGUGUAGAGGUGAAAUUCGUAGAUAUUCGCAAGAACACCAGUGGCGAAGGCGGCUCACUGGCCCGAUACUGACGCUGAGGUGCGAAAGCGUGGGGAGCAAACAGG